AGCAAUCAUCCAGUGUUAAAAAACAGUGCUCUCCAACCACCCAGUUACUACGAGGUAAUGGAGUUUGAUCCCUUAGCUCCCACUACAGAAGCUAUUUAUGAAGAAAUUGAUGCUUCCCACAAGAAAGGAGCUCAAAGCCAUAGUGAAUGCUGAGGUAAAAGACAGCUUACGCAACUUAACUUCCAUCUAAUUUCAGUGCAUUAUCACAUUCUGUAUGAAAUUCUUUAAGGACCACAUCAGUCUGACACAUGUUUUAGUACAAUACCAAGUUCCUCUAAAUUACUUAGUGAUGACCAGUGCUCACUAAUGAAAUACAAUCUCUGUGCUCUUAUCUAGGUGUGGAAAUUCAAAAGUUGGUUUUGGGUAUAUAGUAUUAAUGCUAAUAAAGCCAGAUGAUCAGUAGA
This 404-nucleotide long non-coding RNA is filed under the name Rattus norvegicus (Norway rat). RNAcentral's name for it is "long non-coding RNA NONRATT005872". Lineage: Eukaryota; Metazoa; Chordata; Mammalia; Rodentia; Muridae. The record is from RNAcentral.